GAUGAACGCUGGCGGCGUGCCUAAUACAUGCAAGUCGAGCGAACAGACGAGGAGCUUGCUCCUCUGACGUUAGCGGCGGACGGGUGAGUAACACGUGGAUAACCUACCUAUAAGACUGGGAUAACUUCGGGAAACCGGAGCUAAUACCGGAUAAUAUAUUGAACCGCAUGGUUCAAUAGUGAAAGACGGUUUUGCUGUCACUUAUAGAUGGAUCCGCGCCGCAUUAGCUAGUUGGUAAGGUAACGGCUUACCAAGGCAACGAUGCGUAGCCGACCUGAGAGGGUGAUCGGCCACACUGGAACUGAGACACGGUCCAGACUCCUACGGGAGGCAGCAGUAGGGAAUCUUCCGCAAUGGGCGAAAGCUUGACGGAGCAACGCCGCGUGAGUGAUGAAGGUCUUCGGAUCGUAAAACUCUGUUAUUAUGGAAGAACAAAUGUGUAAGUAACUAUGCACGUCUUGACGGUACCUAAUCAGAAAGCCACGGCUAACUACGUG
This 497-nucleotide ribosomal RNA is filed under the name uncultured bacterium. RNAcentral describes it as "partial 16S ribosomal RNA". It matches the Rfam family "Bacterial small subunit ribosomal RNA", at positions 28 to 507 of the family's 1533-position model. The record is from RNAcentral.